CACGUAGGGGGCAAGCGUUGUCCGGAUUUAUUGGGCGUAAAGCGCGCGCAGGCGGUGGAUUAAGUUGUGGGUAAAAGGCAUUGGCUCAACCAAUGUAAGCCUGCAAAACUGGUUCACUUGAGUGCAGGAGAGGGGAGUGGAAUUCCCGGUGUAGCGGUGGAAUGCGUAGAUAUCGGGAGGAACACCAGUGGCGAAGGCGACUCUUUGGCCUGUAACUGACACUGAGGCGCGAAAGCGUGGGGAGCAAACAGG
Molecule: ribosomal RNA, 252 nt
Filed under: uncultured bacterium
Lineage: Bacteria
Description: partial 16S ribosomal RNA
Rfam family: Bacterial small subunit ribosomal RNA
Source: RNAcentral